This 324-nucleotide ribosomal RNA is filed under the name uncultured eukaryote. RNAcentral describes it as "partial 18S ribosomal RNA". It matches the Rfam family "Eukaryotic small subunit ribosomal RNA", at positions 1470 to 1796 of the family's 1831-position model. The record is from RNAcentral.
CCCUUAGAUGUCCUGGGCUGCACGCGCGCUACACUGAUGUGUCCAGUAAGCACCUAACCUCUUCCGAAAGGAACGGGUAACCUUUGCAAAGCACAUCGUGAUGGGGAUAGAUUAUUGCAAUUAUUAGUCUUGAACGAGGAAUUCCUAGUAAGCACAGGUCAUCAGCUUGUGUUGAUUACGUCCCUGCCCUUUGUACACACCGCCCGUCGCUCCUACCGAUUGAAUGUUCCGGUGAGCUCUUCGGACUGCGCGGUCUGCAGUUUCUGCGUUCCGUGCGGAAAGUUGCGCAAACCUUAACAUUUAGAGGAAGGAGAAGUCGUAACA